RNAcentral lists this ribosomal RNA (245 nucleotides) under uncultured bacterium. RNAcentral's name for it is "partial small subunit ribosomal RNA". It matches the Rfam family "Bacterial small subunit ribosomal RNA", at positions 26 to 285 of the family's 1533-position model. The record is from RNAcentral.
AGAAUCAACGCUGGCGGCGUGCCUAACACAUGCAAGUCGCACGAGAAAGUGGAGCAAUCCACGAGUAAAGUGGCGCACGGGUGAGUAACACGUGAAUAAUCUACCUCCGAGUGGGGAAUAACUGAGAGAAAUCUUAGCUAAUACCGCAUAAUACCCACGGGUCAAAGCAGCAAUGCGCUGGAAGAGGGGGUCGCGGCUGAUUAGCUAGUUGGCGGGGUAAUGGCCCACCAAGGCGAAGAUCGGUA